GAUGAACGCUGGCGGCGUGCCUAAUACAUGCAAGUCGAGCGAACGGACGAGAAGCUUGCUUCUCUGAUGUUAGCGGCGGACGGGUGAGUAACACGUGGAUAACCUACCUAUAAGACUGGGAUAACUUCGGGAAACCGUAGCUAAUACCGGAUAAUAUUUUGAACCGCAUGGUUCAAAAGUGAAAGACGGCCUUGCUGUCACUUAUAGAUGGAUCCGCGCUGCAUUAGCUAGUUGGUAAGGUAACGGCUUACCAAGGCAACGAUGCAUAGCCGACCUGAGAGGGUGAUCGGCCACACUGGAACUGAGACACGGUCCAGACUCCUGCGGGAGGCAGCAGUAGGGAAUCUUCCGCAAUGGGCGAAAGCCUGACGGAGCAACGCCGCGUGAGUGAUGAAGGUCUUCGGAUCGUAAAACUCUGUUAUUAGGGAAGAACAUAUGUGUAAGUAACUGUGCACAUCUUGACGGUACCUAAUCAGAAAGCCACGGCUAACUACGUG
Molecule: ribosomal RNA, 497 nt
Filed under: uncultured bacterium
Lineage: Bacteria
Description: partial 16S ribosomal RNA
Rfam family: Bacterial small subunit ribosomal RNA
Source: RNAcentral